GCAACAGCUCAGAUUUGGAAUCUGGCCCCUAGCGCGCGAGUUGUAAUCUGGAGAGGAUGCUUCUGGCGCGGUGCCUUCCGAGUUCCCUGGAACGGGACGCCGGAGAGGGUGAGAGCCCCGUACGGUUGGACACCUAGCCUCUGUGAAGCUCCUUCGACGAGUCGAGUAGUUUGGGAAUGCUGCUCAAAAUGGGAGGUAAAUUUCUUCUAAAGCUAAAUAUUGGCCAGAGACCGAUAGCGCACAA
RNAcentral lists this ribosomal RNA (244 nucleotides) under Grosmannia pseudoeurophioides. Its description in RNAcentral is "partial large subunit ribosomal RNA". It matches the Rfam family "Eukaryotic large subunit ribosomal RNA", at positions 101 to 347 of the family's 3401-position model. The record is from RNAcentral. Lineage: Eukaryota; Fungi; Ascomycota; Sordariomycetes; Ophiostomatales; Ophiostomataceae.